This 256-nucleotide unclassified non-coding RNA is filed under the name Hevea brasiliensis (rubber tree). The record is from RNAcentral. Lineage: Eukaryota; Viridiplantae; Streptophyta; Magnoliopsida; Malpighiales; Euphorbiaceae.
UAAAUUAUACGUGUAGUUGAUAACAAAUUAACCACUUGCAUAUAUGCAUAAGCAAAACUUGAUCUUAUUCCUUUUAUAUGCUGAUAAACUCGGCUAAUUUACAAUUUGCCCAUCAAAACUCCAAGGUGAAGGUCCACUCUAAAGGCAAAAAUGGAAGAAAAUAAAACCCCCUUUUUUUUGCUAAAUUUUCCAACACCUCCACUGGGCAAGCAGGUGCCAAACUAAUAAAAGCUUCAUCUUUGGGGAAAAAAAUGUA